This 1383-nucleotide ribosomal RNA is filed under the name metagenome. RNAcentral's name for it is "SSU rRNA". It matches the Rfam family "Eukaryotic small subunit ribosomal RNA", at positions 3 to 1369 of the family's 1831-position model. The record is from RNAcentral.
CCUGGUUGAUCCUGCCAGUAUUAUAUGCUUGUCUCAAAGGUUAAGCCAUGCAUGUCUAAGUAUAAGCAACUCUUAUACUGCGAAACUGCAAAUGGCUCAUUAAAUCAGUUAUAGUUUAUUUGAUGGUCCCUUACUACAUGGACAACUGUAGUAAUUCUAGAGCUAAUACAUGCGCAAAAUCCCGGCCGCAAGGGAUGUAUUUAUUAGGUUCCAAGCCAAUAGUCGCGUUCGCUGGGCGUGGUUGUUGGUGAUUCAUAAUAACAGACCAGAUCGCAUCGGCUGGGUGCCGGCGAUGGAUCAAUCAAAUUUCUGCCCUAUCAGCUGGACUGUAGUGUAGUGGACUACAGUGGCGUUGACGGGUAACGGAGAAUUAGGGUUCGAUUCCGGAGAGGGAGCCUGAGAAACGGCUACCAGGUCUAAGGAUGGCAGCAGGCGCGCAAAUUACCCAAUCCUGAUCCAGGGAGGUAGUGACAAGAAAUAACGAUAUUUGGCUCUCGCGAGCUGGAUAAUCGGAAUGAGAACAAUUUAAAAGCCUUAUCAAGGAUCCAUUGGAGGGCAAGUCUGGUGCCAGCAGCCGCGGUAAUUCCAGCUCCAAUAGCGUAUAUUAAUUUUGUUGCAGUUAUAACGCUCGUAGUUGGAUAUCUGGCUCGGAGGUUUUCUUACGGGUGUGCCCCUGUAUAAAGGGUGCUAACGUCGGGGGACUUCCGGCCAUCUUUCGCGGAGAACGUUCGGGCUCUUCAUUGACGUCUGGACGCGAUCCCGAUCUUUUACUUUGAAAAAAUUAGAGUGUUCAAAGCAAGCGCAAUGCCAUGAAUACAUGAGCAUGGAAUAAUAAAAUAGGGCCUCGGCUUUAUUUUGUUGGUUAUAAAAAGCUGGGUGUAAUGAUUGAUAGGGAUAGUUGGGGGUGCUUGUAUUCAACGGCCAGAGGUGAAAUUCCGUGAUCUGUUGAAGACAGUCAAAUGCGAAAGCAUUCACCAAGGAUGUCUUCUUUAAUCAAGAACGAAAGUUGGGGGAUCGAAGACGAUCAGAUACCGUCGUAGUCUCAACCAUAAACGAUGCCGACUAGGGAUUGAUGGGCGUUGCUUUUUGACCCCAUCAGCACCUUAUGAGAAAUCAAAGUCAUUAGGUUCCGGGGGGAGUAUGGUCGCAAGGCUGAAACUUAAAGGAAUUGACGGAAGGGCACCACCAGGAGUGGAGCCUGCGGCUUAAUUUGACCCAACACGGGAAAACUUACCAGGUUCAGACAUAGUGAGGAUUGACAGAUUGAAGAUCUUUCUAGAUUUUAUGGGUGGUGGUGCAUGGCCGUUCUUAGUUGGUGGAGUGAUUUGUCUGGUUAAUUCCGUAAACGAACGAGACCUCAGCCUGUAACUAGUUGUCCUAACC